GAUGAACGCUGGCGGCGUGCCUAAUACAUGCAAGUCGAGCGAGCAGACGAGGAGCUUGCUCCUCUGACGUUAGCGGCGGACGGGUGAGUAACACGUGGAUAACCUACCUAUAAGACUGGGAUAACUUCGGGAAACCGGAGCUAAUACCGGAUAAUAUAUUGAACCGCAUGGUUCAAUAGUGAAAGACGGUUUUGCUGUCACUUAUAGAUGGAUCCGCGCCGCAUUAGCUAGUUGGUAAGGUAACGGCUUACCAAGGCGACGAUGCGUAGCCGACCUGAGAGGGUGAUCGGCCACACUGGAACUGAGACACGGUCCAGACUCCUACGGGAGGCAGCAGUAGGGAAUCUUCCGCAAUGGGCGAAAGCCUGACGGAGCAAUGCCGCGUGAGUGAUGAAGGUCUUCGGAUCGUAAAACUCUGUUAUUAGGGAAGAACAAAUGUGUAAGUAACUAUGCACGUCUUGACGGUACCUAAUCAGAAAGCCACGGCUAACUACGUG
This 497-nucleotide ribosomal RNA is filed under the name uncultured bacterium. Its description in RNAcentral is "partial 16S ribosomal RNA". It matches the Rfam family "Bacterial small subunit ribosomal RNA", at positions 28 to 507 of the family's 1533-position model. The record is from RNAcentral.